RNAcentral lists this long non-coding RNA (1030 nucleotides) under Salmo salar (Atlantic salmon). RNAcentral's name for it is "lncRNA (ENSSSAG00000114822.1)". The record is from RNAcentral. Lineage: Eukaryota; Metazoa; Chordata; Actinopteri; Salmoniformes; Salmonidae.
GUUAGACCUGGAGUGUGUAUGUAUGACAUUCAGAGUGAAUGGGCAAGACAAAAGAUUUAAGUGCCUUUGAACGGGGUAUGGUAGUAGGUGCCAGGCACACCAGUUUGAGUGUGUCAAGAACUGCAACGCUGCUGGAUUUUUCACACUCAGUAGUUUCCCGUGUGUCUUAAUGGUCCACCACCCAAAGGACACCCAGCCAACUUGACACAACUGUGGGAAGCAUUGGGGUCAACAUGGGCCAGCAUCCCUGUGGAACAAAACAAAGCAUACAGGUACACGUGCACUGCUGUGUGCUGGCUUGGUCAGUGCUUUCCUGCAGCCUUCUGCCGCUGUCUCAUAUGCUGGCCCAGCAAGGGGCUAACCAGAGAGUGGCUACUGGGCGGGAGACUGGCCUCUCUGGGUGCUCUCCGGCACGCACCUCAACCUGCCUUAACACACUCCACGAGAGGGACGUGAGAGGCCCUCAUCGUGGAAAAAUUGCAGCCAGUGUAAUUGUGUUCCUUUUCAUGUCCAGUGUGUGACAGCUCAUAUCUCAUAGCACUCAGUUGAGCUUGUUAUAGAUGCCCCCUGCUACUGUGCCUGGCUUGUCUCUUGUCUCCCUGGCUGUGAACCUGCUCUCUCUGGUCUGCAUUGCUUUUAUCUUGCUUGGGUUUAUCUGUGCAGUUAGCCUACUACGCUCUUUGAAACUAGAAAGGACGACCUUCGUUAGAUAAUUUCGUGCCCUGGUUUCUUCACAAUUAAAUUAUACAUUUUCCAUUGGCAUGGCCAUAAUAAAUAUAAUCUAUGAACAAUCUCUCCAUGUCUCACUCUUUCUCCUCUCUUCUUACCCUCAGCCCUCUCUUUCUACCCUCUCUCUCCCUGCCAUAACCUGGAGUAAUUUAUCCUUGAAGACAGGUAUACUGUUGUGAACGAUAUCUUUAUUGUAGGUAUUUUCAUAUGGCUGUUAGUUUUGAGGCAGUUGAAAGAGAGAAAGCUGCACAGGUCCAGGAUGUCAAAGAAAGAACAAGUAAUUGUCAAAUAACAAUGGUAG